Molecule: ribosomal RNA, 592 nt
Filed under: Dissostichus eleginoides (Patagonian toothfish)
Lineage: Eukaryota; Metazoa; Chordata; Actinopteri; Perciformes; Nototheniidae
Description: partial 16S ribosomal RNA
Rfam family: Bacterial large subunit ribosomal RNA
Source: RNAcentral
AAACAUCGCCUCUUGCAAACAACGAAUAAGAGGUCCCGCCUGCCCUGUGACUAUUAGUUUAACGGCCGCGGUAUUUUGACCGCGCGAAGGUAGCGCAAUCACUUGUCUCUUAAAUGGAGACCUGUAUGAAUGGCAUAACGAGGGCUUAGCUGUCUCCUCCCCUAAGUUAAUGAAAUUGAUCUUUCCGUGCAGAAGCGGGAAUAAACACAUAAGACGAGAAGACCCUAUGAAGCUUCAGACGUAAAGUGGACCAAGCUACAAAGACCCCAUGAUAAAGGGACAAACCAAAAGAGCCGCCACCCCAAUGUCUUUGGUUGGGGCGACCGCGGGGAAAGAAAAAACCCCCACGUGGAACGGGAGUACAACUCCUUAAACUCAGAGCCACAGCUCUAAUAAACAAGAUUUUUGACCUAAGGAUCCGGCAAUGCCGAUCAACGGACCGAGUUACUCUAGGGAUAACAGCGCAAUCCCCUUUUAGAGACCAUAUCAACAAGGGGGUUUACGACCUCGAUGUUGGAUCAGGACAUCCUAUUGGUGCAGCAGCUAUUAAGGGUUCGUUUGUUCAACGAUUAAAGUCCUACGUGAUCUGAGU